Molecule: ribosomal RNA, 305 nt
Filed under: uncultured bacterium
Lineage: Bacteria
Description: bacterial SSU rRNA
Rfam family: Bacterial small subunit ribosomal RNA
Source: RNAcentral
ACCUACGGGGCGCAGCAGUGAGGAAUAUUGGUCAAUGGCCGCAGGGCUGAACCAGCCAAGUCGCGUGAGGGAUGACGGUCCUAUGGAUUGUAAACCUCUUUUGUCAGGGAGCAAAGGGCGCCACGUGUGGCGUUUUGCGAGUACCUGAAGAAAAAGCAUCGGCUAACUCCGUGCCAGCAGCCGCGGUAAUACGUAGGGGGCAAGCGUUAUCCGGAUUUACUGGGUGUAAAGGGAGCGCAGGCGGGAGAUCAAGUCAGCGGGAAAAUGUCGGGGCUCAACCCCGGCCGGCCGUUGAAACUGGUUUU